RNAcentral lists this ribosomal RNA (568 nucleotides) under uncultured bacterium. Its description in RNAcentral is "bacterial SSU rRNA". It matches the Rfam family "Bacterial small subunit ribosomal RNA", at positions 8 to 571 of the family's 1533-position model. The record is from RNAcentral.
AGAGUUUGAUCCUGGCUCAGAUUGAACGCUGGCGGCAGGCCUAACACAUGCAAGUCGAGCGGAUGAUGGGAGCUUGCUCCCGGAUUCAGCGGCGGACGGGUGAGUAAUGCCUAGGAAUCUGCCUGGUAGUGGGGGACAACGUUUCGAAAGGAACGCUAAUACCGCAUACGUCCUACGGGAGAAAGCAGGGGACCUUCGGGCCUUGCGCUAUCAGAUGAGCCUAGGUCGGAUUAGCUAGUUGGUGGGGUAAAGGCCUACCAAGGCGACGAUCCGUAACUGGUCUGAGAGGAUGAUCAGUCACACUGGAACUGAGACACGGUCCAUACUCCUACGGGAGGCAGCAGUGGGGAAUAUUGGACAAUGGGCGAAAGCCUGAUCCAGCCAUGCCGCGUGUGUGAAGAAGGUCUUCGGAUUGUAAAGCACUUUAAGUUGGGAGGAAGGGCAGUAAGUUAAUACCUUGCUGUNUUGACGUUACCAACAGAAUAAGCACCGGCUAACUUCGUGCCAGCAGCCGCGGUAAUACGAAGGGUGCAAGCGUUAAUCGGAAUUACUGGGCGUUAAGCGCGCG